This 911-nucleotide long non-coding RNA is filed under the name Capsicum annuum. RNAcentral's name for it is "long non-coding RNA (CANN_LNC014885)". The record is from RNAcentral. Lineage: Eukaryota; Viridiplantae; Streptophyta; Magnoliopsida; Solanales; Solanaceae.
CCCAAAUUCCUAAUCUACCCAACAAAAUUCACUAUAACCCGAUCUAUAUCCAAAUUAAUCAGUUUCAGUCACAAUGCAACAUUACCCAGCCCCCAAUUCAGGCCCAAAAUAAUUCCAACCCAACAAAAUAAUAACGACAACACAUAGCAACAGCCCAAGAUCUUCCAGCCCUCUAAUCUUUUUUUUUUCCAACCCAGCAGCCCAAACUACACACCACCAGGCCCAAAAACCCAAACCGGCCCACCGGCCCACCACCCCUUAUCUUCAACACAGCAAAACAGCCAAUAAACACCCGUACAAUUCCAUCGACAAGCAACCGACAUCAGUAACCAUAUUCCGACGAUACAAACACCAACAAUUUCAACGCGGAAAACAACAGCCAACAACAACUCCAGCGAACCAAUUCCAAACGACACCCGCAAUCAGCGAAACCAGAAUUCGAUCCGAACAACAACUUCAUUCAACCAACGACAAACCCUCCAAAUCACAGAAAAUCUAUCUUUUCAUCUUGUCUCUGAAUUUUGCAGACCUAGAACCAUGGUUGUCGACUUUUGGCUCAGGAUUGUGUGUCUCUAACCCCAAGAUUCAAUUGGAAUUAGGUGUCAUAAGUUCGAAUCUGCAUUUUUGGGAUAUGUUUUCAUCCUUUUAAAAUUUUUGUCAAAUUUCCAGCCAUUGUCUGUCAAAAAACAGACUAUUUUUUGAAUGGUAAAUGAGAUUUUUUCGGCUAUAAAUAGGAAUCGAGACUUCCAUUGAAGGGGGGUUUCUAGGGGAAAAAAUUGAGGGUUAUGGAGGUGCGCACCUCUAACCCUACAUAACCAAGAAGUUCAUGGUGAAAUUUAUUUAAAUUCGUUGAAAUAAUUUUCGCAAGAACGAUUCAACGCAGGUAAAUCCAAGUCGAGUUUUGGUGGUGA